Molecule: ribosomal RNA, 459 nt
Filed under: uncultured bacterium
Lineage: Bacteria
Description: partial 16S ribosomal RNA
Rfam family: Bacterial small subunit ribosomal RNA
Source: RNAcentral
CCUACGGGUGGCAGCAGGGAGGAAUAUUGGUCAAUGGGAGAGAUCCUGAACCAGCCAAGCCGCGUGAGGGAAGACGGCCCUAUGGGUUGUAAACCUCUUUUGUCGGAGAACAAAACCCGGGACGUGUCCCGGACUGCGUGUAUCCGAAGAAAAAGCAUCGGCUAACUCCGUGCCAGCAGCCGCGGUAAUACGGAGGAGGCGAGUGUUAUCCGGAUUUCUUGGGUUUAAAGGGUGCGUAGGCGGUCCGGUAAGUCAGCGGUAAAAGUGCGGGGCUCAACCCCGUCGAGCCGUUGAAACUGGCAGUCUUGAGUUGGCGCGACGUACUCGGACUGCGCGUUGUCGCGGUGACAUGCCUCGCUCUCGCGCAGCCCUCCGAUUGCGCCGGCAGCGUACCGGCGCCAGCCUGCCGCUGAGGCACGCACGCGUGGGGCUCGAACAGGAUUAGCUACCCGUGUAGUC